UGGGGAAUUUUGCGCAAUGGGCGAAAGCCUGACGCAGCGACGCCGCGUGAGGGAUGAAGGUUCUCGGAUCGUAAACCUCUGUCAGGAAGGAUUAAAGGUAUGGAUGGUAAUAUCAUCCAUACUUGACUUAACUUCCAAAGGAAGCCCCGGCUAACUACGUGCCAGCAGCCGCGGUAAUACGUAGGGGGCAAGCGUUACUCGGAUUUACUGGGCGUAAAGAGAAUUAAGGCGGUCAUGUAAGUCAGUGGUGAAAUCCCUCGGCUCAACUGAGGAAUUGCCUUUGAUACUGCGUGACUUGAGGACAGGAGAGGAAGGCGGAAUUCCCGGUGUAGCGGUGGAAUGCGUAGAUAUCGGGAGGAACACCUGAGGCGAAGGCGGCUUUCUGGACUGGUCCUGACGCUGAUAUUCGAAAGCUAGGGGAGCAAACAGGAUUAGAUACCCUGGUAGUCCUAGCUGUAAACGAUGGAUACUAGAUCUUGCAUGAAUUUGCUUGGUCGAAGCUAACGCGUUAAGUAUCCCGCCUGGGGAGUACGG
Molecule: ribosomal RNA, 534 nt
Filed under: uncultured Aminicenantes bacterium
Lineage: Bacteria; Candidatus Aminicenantota
Description: bacterial SSU rRNA
Rfam family: Bacterial small subunit ribosomal RNA
Source: RNAcentral